CAGAGAUAUUCGGUGUGUCUGUGAGGACCAUCCGGAGGCGCAUGGACCAAAACAGUCUAAGACAGACAGAUCUCUAUUCAUCUAUUGCUGAUGAAGAAUUGGACCGUAUUGUGACUGAAGUUCACAGAAGUCAUCCAAACACUGGAUACAAGCUAAUGCACGGACAUCUGAAAGCAAGAGGUGUACUUGUUCCCAUCUCAAGAUUGCGGGAGUCUUUACGCAAGGUUGAUGCAGAGGGAGUGCAUAUGAGACGUUUAAGGCUGUAUUCUGUUCCUGGCCCAAACCAUCUUUGGCAUAUUGAUGGUAACCAUAAGCUCAUAAG
Non-coding RNA from Paramormyrops kingsleyae, 322 nucleotides. Lineage: Eukaryota; Metazoa; Chordata; Actinopteri; Osteoglossiformes; Mormyridae. The record is from RefSeq and is a predicted model, not a curated record.